UACGUAGGUGGCAAGCGUUGUCCGGAUUUAUUGGGUUUAAAGGGUGCGUAGGCGGCUUUGUAAGUCAGUGGUGAAAUAUGGCAGCUCAACUGUCAAGGUGCCAUUGAUACUGCGGAGCUUGAGUACAGAUGAGGUAGGCGGAAUUGACGGUGUAGCGGUGAAAUGCUUAGAUAUCGUCAAGAACACCUAUAGCGAAGGCAGCUUACUAAGCUUAAACUGACGCUGAGGCACGAAAGUGUGGGGAUCAAACAGG
RNAcentral lists this ribosomal RNA (253 nucleotides) under uncultured bacterium. Its description in RNAcentral is "partial 16S ribosomal RNA". It matches the Rfam family "Bacterial small subunit ribosomal RNA", at positions 524 to 776 of the family's 1533-position model. The record is from RNAcentral.